Salvia hispanica is the source of this 945-nucleotide long non-coding RNA. RefSeq lists it as uncharacterized. Lineage: Eukaryota; Viridiplantae; Streptophyta; Magnoliopsida; Lamiales; Lamiaceae. The record is from RefSeq and is a predicted model, not a curated record.
CCAAAUAAAUUAAAUCCUACGCCAAAUAAUUCCAAGAAAAAUAGAAGAUCUCAUUGCAGGUAUCUUCCCCUCUACCGUGAUUUUCCUCUUUAUUCGAUCAAUACUCAAUUAACCUCAAAUUAAUUGAGCAAAUCAAACACCAAAAUUACUCCUCUCCCACGUCUCACGCUCCCUCAUCUCGUCACCCCAAUCUGUAAGAGAAAUCCUUCCAAUUAUUUCCCCACAAUCAAUUGAAAUCAAUCACCCAAAAUAACUACUCAAUACAUUGCUAUAUCACCCCUCUACACUAAUCUCUCCGCCUCACACAAUUUGGCAGUCUCUCCUAAAUCACUUUUGAAUCACAAAAUUUCCUCAAGGCGGCAGAGAAGAGAGAGUUCAUCAUCCUCCCCCUCACAAUCCUAACCCCACCGAGAGAAAAGGCGGAGAGUUGGAUCGACCGCUUCCGAGCCACAACCUCUUUUGUUUACAGCAACUCGUCCCAAAUUAUUGCAGGUGGAAACGAGGCUGCUUCGGAUGAAGUCGAGACCGCUGGAGAGGCGACGCAGCGGCUGCUACGGCGCCGAGCGACGGCGGUGGGUGCGGGCGACGAAUCGGAGUCAGCAGUGGCGUCGACUCCGGUGCAGCGGUGAUUUGGAGAAAGCAACGGAGCUCUAACUUUUUUUCUGGUGUUUUGGUGUUGCGAUUCUGGGAGAGAGAGCCGACGGUAUCUUAUUUUGAAAAGGGAAUUUGAUUCUCAAUUGUUUAUGCUUUAAUUAUUUGGGGUGUAUGUUUUAAGGUGAAAAUGGAGUAUAAGUGUUUUACGAUGGAGUUGGAAUGGGAGUUUACAUUUCUCCUUUUCUUCUUUUCAAUUUUGAUCUUUUUUUUUUUUUUUUGGGAGCUGUCGUGUGUUUUGGAAAGCUAGUAAUAUUAUUUUGCAUCUUAUUUGAAUGAGUGUUUUCUUUUGUA